RNAcentral lists this ribosomal RNA (346 nucleotides) under uncultured bacterium. Its description in RNAcentral is "bacterial SSU rRNA". It matches the Rfam family "Bacterial small subunit ribosomal RNA", at positions 65 to 422 of the family's 1533-position model. The record is from RNAcentral.
AACGUCCUUUUCUUAGGAAGAGGGAGUGGCGGACGGGUGAGUAACACGUGGGAAUCUACCUUUUAGUGAGGAAUACCGGCGAGAAAUCGCUGACAAAACCGCAUAAGUUCGGUGACGAGUAAAGCUCCUUUUCGGAGGGGCGCUGAAAGAUGAGCCUGCGUCCGAUUAGCUAGCUGGUGGGGUAAUGGCCUACCAGGGCAUCGAUCGGUAGCUGGUCUGAGAGGACGAUCAGCCACACUGGGAUUGAGAACGGCCCAGACUCCUACGGGAGGCAGCAGUGAGGAAUUUUCCGCAAUGGACGAAAGUCUGACGGAGCAACGCCGCGUGCAGGAAGACGGCCUUCGGG